RNAcentral lists this ribosomal RNA (497 nucleotides) under uncultured bacterium. RNAcentral's name for it is "partial 16S ribosomal RNA". It matches the Rfam family "Bacterial small subunit ribosomal RNA", at positions 28 to 507 of the family's 1533-position model. The record is from RNAcentral.
GAUGAACGCUGGCGGCGUGCCUAAUACAUGCAAGUCGAGCGAACAGACGAGGAGCUUGCUCCUCUGACGUUAGCGGCGGACGGGUGAGUAACACGUGGAUAACCUACCUAUAAGACUGGGAUAACUUCGGGAAACCGGAGCUAAUACCGGAUAAUAUAUUGAACCGCAUGGUUCAAUAGUGAAAGACGGUUUUGCUGUCACUUAUAGAUGGAUCCGCGCCGCAUUAGCUAGUUGGUAAGGUAACGGCUUACCAAGGCAACGAUGCGUAGCCGACCUGAGAGGGUGAUCGGCCACACUGGAACUGAGACACGGUCCAGACUCCUACGGGAGGCAGCAGUAGGGAAUCUUCCGCAAUGGGGGGAAGCCUGACGGAGCAACGCCGCGUGAGUGAUGAAGGUCUUCGGAUCGUAAAACUCUGUUAUUAGGGGAGAACAGAUGUGUAAGUAACUAUGCACGUCUUGACGGUACCUAAUCAGAAAGCCACGGCUAACUACGUG